AAAUCUUUUCCAUGCAGGGGUAUUUUUUGGUGCAUGCGAGAGAUUGGUAGACAGAUGGUACAUGCAAUAACCUUGAGCUGCAUCCGGAAAAAUAUUGAAUACAGCUUCAAUCAAACCUUUUUGUCUGUCGGAAACAAUAGUAAGUAUACUGUUUGCUCUGCUGAUACCGCGAUCACCGACGACACCAUCCCGCAACUGUUCCAGAAACCAGUCCCAGGAAUAUCGAUUUUCACCUUGCACAACUACCUACGCUAAU
Molecule: long non-coding RNA, 256 nt
Filed under: Ananas comosus (pineapple)
Lineage: Eukaryota; Viridiplantae; Streptophyta; Magnoliopsida; Poales; Bromeliaceae
Description: long non-coding RNA (ACOM_LNC003200)
Source: RNAcentral